Molecule: long non-coding RNA, 2150 nt
Organism: Mytilus californianus (California mussel)
Lineage: Eukaryota; Metazoa; Mollusca; Bivalvia; Mytilida; Mytilidae
Exons: 2
Source: RefSeq, a predicted model, not a curated record
UAGCUCACCGGGGCCCGAAGGGCCCCAUGUGAGCUUAUGCCAUCACUUGGCGUCCGUCGUCUGUCGUCGUCGUAUGUCGUCGUAAACUAUUUCAAAAAUCUUCUCCUAUGAAACUACUGGGCCAAAUACCUUCAAACUUUAACUAAAUGUUCCUUAGGGUAUCUAGUUUAUAAAUUGUAUCCGAAGUUUUGAUCCAUCGACAAACAUGGCCCCCAUGGCUAAAAAUAGAACAUAGGGGUCAAAUGCAGUUUUUGGCUUAUAUCUCAAAAACUAAAGCUUUUAGAGCAAAUCUGACAUAGGAUUAAAUUGUUCAAUUGGUCAAGAUCUAUCAGUUUUGAAAUUUUCAGACGAAUUGAACAACCUAUUGUUGGGUUGCUGCCACCGAAUUGGUAGUUUUAACAAAAUUUUGCAGUUUUUUGUUAUUAUUUUGAAUAUUAUUAUAGAUAUAUAUAAACUGUAAGCAGCAAUAAUGUUCAGCAAAGUAAGAUCUACAAAAAAGUUAAUAUGACCAUAAUUGUCAAUUGACCCCUUAAGGAGUUAUUGCCCUUUAAAGACAAUUUUACACAAUUUGUUCAUCAAGUUUGCUAACAUUUAAAAAUCUUCUCCUCUGAAACUACUGGGCCAAUUACCUUCAAACUUUAAUAAAUGUUCCUUAGGGUAUCUUGUUUAUAAAUUGUAUCCGAAGUUUUGAUCCAUCGACAAACAUGGCCCCCAUGGCUAAAAAUAGAACAUAGGGGUCAAAUGCAGUUUUUGGCUUAUAUCUCAAAAACUAAAGCUUUUAGAGCAAAUCUGACAUAGGAUAAAAUUGUUCAAUUGGUCAAGAUCUAUCAGUUCUGAAAUUUUCAGACGAAUUGAACAACCUAUUGUUGGGUUGCCGCCACCGAAUUGGUAGUUUUAACAAAAUUUUGCAGUUUUUUGUUAUUAUUUUGAAUAUUAUUAUAGAUAUAUAUAAACUGUAAGCAGCAAUAAUGUUCAGCAAAGUAAGAUCUACAAAAAAGUUAAUAUGACCAUAAUUGUCAAUUGACCCCUUAAGGAGUUAUUGCCCUUUAAAGACAAUUUUACACAAUUUGUUCAUCAAGUUUACUAACAUUUAAAAAUCUUCUCCUCUGAAACUACUGGGCCAAUUACCUUCAAACUUUAACUAAAUGUUCCUUAGGGUAUCUUGUUUAUAAAUAGUAUCCGAAGUUUUGAUCCAUCGACAAACAUGGCCGCCAUGGCUAAAAAUAGAACAUAGGGGUCAAAUGCAGUUUUUGGCUUAUAUCUCAAAAACUAAAGCUUUUAGAGCAAAUCUGACAUAGGACAAAAUUGUUCAAUUGGUCAAGAUCUAUCAGUUCUGAAAUUUUCAGACAAAUUGAACAACCUAUUGUUGGGUUGCCGCCACCGAAUUGGUAGUUUUAACAAAAUUUUGCAGUUUUUUGUUAUUAUUUUGAAUAUUAUUAUAGAUAUAUAUAAACUGUAAGCAGCAAUAAUGUUCAGCAAAGUAAGAUCUACAAAAAAGUUAAUAUGACCAUAAUUGUCAAUUGACCCCUUAAGGAGUUAUUGCCCUUUAAAGACAAUUUUACACAAUUUGUUCAUCAAGUUUGCUAACAUUUAAAAAUCUUCUCCUCUGAAACUACUGGGCCAAUUACCUUCAAACUUUAAGUAAAUGUUCCUUAGGGUAUCUUGUUUAUAAAUUGUAUCCGAAGUUUGUAUCAAUCGACAAAAAUGGCCGCCAUGGCUAAAAAUAGAACAUAAGUGUCAAAUGCAGUUUUUGGCUUAUAUCUCAAAAACUAAAUCUUUUAGAGCAAAUGUGACAUGGGGUAAAAUUGUUUAAUUGUUCAAGAUCUAUCGGCCCUGAAAUUAUCAGACGUAUCGAACAACCCAUUGUUGGGUUGCUGCCACAGAAUUGGUAGUUUUAACAAAAUUUUGCAGUUUUUUGUUAUUAUUUUGAAUAUUACUAUAGAUAUAUGUAAACUGUAAGCAGCAGUAAUGUUCAGCAAAGUAAGAUCUACAAAAAAGUUAAUAUGACCAAAAUUGUCAAUUGACCCCUUAAGGAGUUAUCGCCCUUUAAAGACAAUAUUACACAAUUUGUUCAUCAAGUUUGCUAACAUUUAAAAAUCUUCUCCUCUGAAAUACAGGUGAGCGAUUCAGGCUCUUGAGAGCCUCUUGUU